GGGGAUUUCAGACACUAUAACCACUUUGAUGAGAUUAAAUAGUUACAGUGCAUAACGCGUCCCUUAAUUCAAACCCUCUGGUAGUGUAAUUCUCAGCAAUCAUGGGCAAUCCAGAACACGUAUGUCCUGGUACUGCCUGGAGUUUGCGAAUCCCUAAUAGCACCAUACCAUGCACAGUGUGGUGUCACGAACGGUGCAUCAUGUGAUUUGAAAAUGUUCUGCUUGUAUUCAUUAAACUCAGUCACUCCAAAAUGAUUGCUGAAUUAGAACAUUCUGUCAGCACGUGGAUGAUUCCAAAGUCCGGUUUGAUGAGUUGGUCAAAAGUCCAGUGUUGUGAUUUCCACAGUAAGAUACACAUUUGGAUAAAAGCAGUUGUGUAAGGACACAGAGUAGUUUGAAAACACAGCUUCUAAAAACCAAAAUCGUUACAACAAAAUGGGGCAAACUGCUCAGAGAGAUACAUGCAUGGCCAAUAUUAGAUUUGUGCAAAAACUUAUUUUGUCCAUAAACAAAUCGAUUCUUAAGAAGUAAAAUACUUUUAAUCCACAACUGAAAUAAUCGAUUCAUUCACAAAAU
Molecule: non-coding RNA, 576 nt
Organism: Pelobates cultripes (western spadefoot toad)
Lineage: Eukaryota; Metazoa; Chordata; Amphibia; Anura; Pelobatidae
Source: the annotation of a GenBank genome assembly